Molecule: ribosomal RNA, 468 nt
Filed under: uncultured bacterium
Lineage: Bacteria
Description: partial 16S ribosomal RNA
Rfam family: Bacterial small subunit ribosomal RNA
Source: RNAcentral
GACGAACGCUGGCGGCGGGCUUAACACAUGCAAGUCGAACGGAAAGUCCCUUCGCUUUUGUGGUGCUCGAGUGGCGAACGGGUGAGUAACACGUAAGUAACCUGCCCUUGACUUGAGGAUAACUCCAGGAAACGGGAACUAAUCCCGCAUAACACCUUCUGCUGCCUGGUGGGGGUGGUUAAGCUUCGGCGGUUGGGGAAUGACCCGCGGCUUAUCAGCUUGUUGGGCGGGUAGUGGCUUACCAAGGCUUUGACGGGUAGCCGGCCUGAGAGGGUGACCGGCCACAUUGGGACUGAGAUACCGCCCAGACUCCUACGGGAGGCAGCGGUGGGGAUUAUUGCACAAUGGGCGGAAGCCUGAUGCAGCAACGCCGCGUGCGGGAUGACGGCCUUCGGGUUGUAAACCGCUUUCGCCUGUGACGAAGCGUGAGUGACGGUAAUGGGUAAAGAAGCACCGGCUAACUACGUG